Molecule: ribosomal RNA, 497 nt
Filed under: uncultured bacterium
Lineage: Bacteria
Description: partial 16S ribosomal RNA
Rfam family: Bacterial small subunit ribosomal RNA
Source: RNAcentral
GAUGAACGCUGGCGGCGUGCCUAAUACAUGCAAGUCGAGCGAACGGACGAGAAGCUUGCUUCUCUGAUGUUAGCGGCGGACGGGUGAGUAACACGUGGAUAACCUACCUAUAAGACUGGGAUAACUUCGGGAAACCGGAGCUAAUACCGGAUAAUAUUUUGAACCGCAAGGUUCAAAAGUGAAAGACGGUCUUGCUGUCACUUAUAGAUGGAUCCGCGCUGCAUUAGCUAGUUGGUAAGGUAACGGCUUACCAAGGCAACGAUGCAUAGCCGACCUGAGAGGGUGAUCGGCCACACUGGAACUGAGACACGGUCCAGACUCCUACGGGAGGCAGCAGUAGGGAAUCUUCCGCAAUGGGCGAAAGCCUGACGGAGCAACGCCGCGUGAGUGAUGAAGGUCUUCGGAUCGUAAAACUCUGUUAUUAGGGAAGAACAUAUGUGUAAGUAACUGUGCACAUCUUGACGGUACCUAAUCAGAAAGCCACGGCUAACUACGUG